GGCACUUUGGCGGAGUGGUUAACGCGCUGGCCUGCUAGUCCCAUGGGAAAGCCAGCCAGUUCCUUCGGGAGCGAGAGUUCGAAUCUCUCAGGUGUCG
This 97-nucleotide transfer RNA is filed under the name Exserohilum turcicum. RNAcentral's name for it is "tRNA-Ser". It matches the Rfam family "tRNA". From Rfam's summary of the family: Transfer RNA (tRNA) molecules are approximately 80 nucleotides in length. Their secondary structure includes four short double-helical elements and three loops (D, anti-codon, and T loops). RNAcentral also lists the same sequence under 1 other name. Lineage: Eukaryota; Fungi; Ascomycota; Dothideomycetes; Pleosporales; Pleosporaceae. The record is from RNAcentral.